This is a long non-coding RNA of Chelonia mydas (Green sea turtle), 866 nucleotides long. RefSeq lists it as uncharacterized. The transcript is spliced from 3 exons. Lineage: Eukaryota; Metazoa; Chordata; Testudines; Cheloniidae. The record is from RefSeq and is a predicted model, not a curated record.
CAGUCCCAUGAAUAGGGUGUGCAAGCUGGAGAUACAGGCAGUAAGGACUGCACCCGGCUGUCCAGACCUGGCAUCAGCACUGUCAGACCAAUCGAGUCUCCUGCUGGCAGUCCUGUUUAAGGUUUAUGAUGUGUUAUAUCAUCUUGGCUUUAGAAGAGCUUAAAGGAUUCAUAAAAUGAUCAAGGAUGUUCUUGUCGAACAGGGAUCGCUAACAGGCAAUUUCGAGGGGGAGUUCUCCAGGUGGAGGAGGAGCAAGUCUGGGACCCUUGGGAGCUGCAAGAAGAACUGAAUCAGCAGCGAACAUCACAAUUUCAUGGACAAAUAGUGAGAACCUGUUCGAAGUGGCUGUUGGCAUUCAUGGAACAGCUGCACAUGGUGGAGCGAUUUUUCUGGGCUCAAGAAACGAGCACUGACUGCUGGGAUCACAUCAUGGCGCAGGCUUGGGUUAAUGAGCAGGGGCUGCAACAUUUUCGUUAUGUGCCAGGCCACAUUUCUGGAUCUGUGUGCUGAGCACACCCCAGCCUCCUAGCACCGGGAGAGCAAAAUGAGAGCUACACUGACACUGGAGAAGCAAGUGGAGAUUACACUGUGGAGACUUGCAACACCGAAUUUCUACCGCUCAGUGGGAAAUCACCUUGGAGUUGAUGUACAUCUUUGAAUAUAACACUUUCAAUGCACCAACUAAUUUUGUGGUACUUGCUGCACAUUUAUAGUUACUACACUGUUUGCCACUGAUCCUAUUAGCUCUGUCACACUGUACAAUAACAAGUAAGUGGAUGCUUUCAGUAUCACUAGGCACUCUGCAGCAUAUGUUGUGAACUAAUAAAGUUGAAUUAUUUCCCAAGUAUAGAACUUUAAUGAGUAAU